RNAcentral lists this transfer RNA (67 nucleotides) under Manis crassicaudata (Indian pangolin). RNAcentral's name for it is "tRNA-Thr". RNAcentral also lists the same sequence under 1 other name. The record is from RNAcentral. Lineage: Eukaryota; Metazoa; Chordata; Mammalia; Pholidota; Manidae.
GUCUUCGUAGUAUAUGUUAAUACACUGGCCUUGUAAACCAGCAAAGGAACUAACCCUCCCCAAGACU